RNAcentral lists this ribosomal RNA (403 nucleotides) under uncultured bacterium. RNAcentral's name for it is "partial 16S ribosomal RNA". It matches the Rfam family "Bacterial small subunit ribosomal RNA", at positions 28 to 526 of the family's 1533-position model. The record is from RNAcentral.
GACGAACGCUGGCGGCGUGCCUAAUACAUGCAAGUCGAACGCAGUGGGGACGGGUGAGUAACACGUGGGUAACCUCCCCUCAGAGGGGAUAACACUUGGAAACAGGUGCUAAACCGAUACUGAUGGAUGGACCCGGGGUGGAUUAGCUAGUGGGUGAGGUAACGGCGCACCAAGGCGACGAUGCGUACCCGGACUGAGAGGAUGAUCGGCCACACUGGAACAGAGACACGGCCCAGACUCCUACGGGAGGCAGCAGUGGGGAAUAUUCGGCAAUGGACGAAAGUCUGACCGAGCAACGCCGCGUGAGUGAAGAAGGUUUUCGGAUUGUAAAGCACUGUUGUUAGAGAAGCGGUAUCAAAACAGAAAGCAACGGCGAACUACGUGCCAGCAGCCGCGGUAAUAC